GACGAACGCUGGCGGCGUGCUUAACACAUGCAAGUCGAACGGUGAAGCGCCUUCCUUUUUGGUGGGUGUGGAUGAGUGGCGAACGGGUGAGUAACACGUGAGUAACCUGCCCCCUUCUUCUGGAUAACCGCAUGAAAGUGUGGCUAAUACGGGAUAUUCUGGGUCUGUCGCAUGAUGGGUCUGGGAAAGAUAUUGUUUCGGUGGGGGAUGGGCUCGCGGCCUAUCAGCUUGUUGGUGGGGUGAUGGCCUACCAAGGCGGUGACGGGUAGCCGGCCUGAGAGGGUGGACGGUCACACUGGGACGGAGGCACGGACCAGACUCCGACGGGAGGCAGCAGGGGGGAAUAUUGCAAAAUGGGCGCAAGCCUGAUGCAGCGACGCCGCGUGAGGGAUGGAGGCCUUCGGGUUGUGAACCUCUUUCGCCAGUGAAGCAGGCCUGCCUCGUUUGUGGGUGGGUUGACGGUAGCUGGAUAAGAAGCGCCGGCUAACUACGUG
This 494-nucleotide ribosomal RNA is filed under the name uncultured bacterium. RNAcentral describes it as "partial 16S ribosomal RNA". It matches the Rfam family "Bacterial small subunit ribosomal RNA", at positions 28 to 507 of the family's 1533-position model. The record is from RNAcentral.